This 74-nucleotide transfer RNA is filed under the name Nanobdellota archaeon. Its description in RNAcentral is "tRNA-Thr". It matches the Rfam family "tRNA". Rfam says of the family: Transfer RNA (tRNA) molecules are approximately 80 nucleotides in length. Their secondary structure includes four short double-helical elements and three loops (D, anti-codon, and T loops). The record is from RNAcentral. Lineage: Archaea; Nanobdellati; Nanobdellota.
GCCUCAGUAGCUCAGCCUGGUGGAGCAAUUGCCUUGUAAGCAAUAGGCCGGGGGUUCAAAUCCUCCCUGAGGCU